GAUGAACGCUGGCGGCGUGCCUAAUACAUGCAAGUCGAGCGAACAGACGAGGAGCUUGCUCCUCUGACGUUAGCGGCGGACGGGUGAGUAACACGUGGAUAACCUACCUAUAAGACUGGGAUAACUUCGGGAAACCGGAGCUAAUACCGGAUAAUAUAUUGAACCGCAUGGUUCAAUAGUGAAAGACGGUUUUGCUGUCACUUAUAGAUGGAUCCGCGCCGCAUUAGCUAGUUGGUAAGGUAACGGCUUACCAAGGCAACGAUGCGUAGCCGACCUGAGAGGGUGAUCGGCCACACUGGAACUGAGACACGGACCAGACUCCUACGGGAGGCAGCAGUAGGGAAUCUGCCGCAGUGGGCGAAAGCCUGACGGAGCAACGCCGCGUGAGUGAUGAAGGUCUUCGGAUCGUAAAACUCUGUUAUUAGGGAAGAACAAAUGUGUAAGUAACUAUGCACGUCUUGACGGUACCUAAUCAGAAAGCCACGGCUAACUACGUG
This 497-nucleotide ribosomal RNA is filed under the name uncultured bacterium. RNAcentral's name for it is "partial 16S ribosomal RNA". It matches the Rfam family "Bacterial small subunit ribosomal RNA", at positions 28 to 507 of the family's 1533-position model. The record is from RNAcentral.